ACGGAGGGUGCGAGCGUUAUCCGGAAUUACUGGGUUUAAAGGGUGCGUAGGCGGCUAUGUAAGUCAGGAGUGAAAGUUUGCGGCUCAACCGUAAAAUUGCUUUUGAUACUGCAUGGCUGGAAUUAGGAUGAGGUCAGCGGAAUGUGGCAUGUAGCGGUGAAAUGCAUAGAUAUGCCAUAGAACACCAAUUGCGAAGGCAGCUGGCUAGACCUGGAUUGACGCUGAGGCGCGAAAGCCAGGGGAGCAAACGGGA
RNAcentral lists this ribosomal RNA (253 nucleotides) under uncultured prokaryote. Its description in RNAcentral is "partial 16S ribosomal RNA". It matches the Rfam family "Bacterial small subunit ribosomal RNA", at positions 525 to 777 of the family's 1533-position model. The record is from RNAcentral.